Molecule: ribosomal RNA, 253 nt
Filed under: uncultured bacterium
Lineage: Bacteria
Description: partial 16S ribosomal RNA
Rfam family: Bacterial small subunit ribosomal RNA
Source: RNAcentral
UACGUAGGGCGCAAGCGUUGUCCGGAAUUAUUGGGCGUAAAGAGCUCGUAGGCGGUUUGUCGCGUCUGCUGUGAAAUCCCGAGGCUCAACCUCGGGCUUGCAGUGGGUACGGGCAGACUAGAGUGCGGUAGGGGAGACUGGAAUUCCAGGUGUAGCGGUGAAAUGCGUAGAUAUCUGGAGGAACACCGGUGGCGAAGGCGGCAUCCUGGACCGAGAUUGACGCUGAGGCGCGAAAGCCAGGGGAGCAAACGGG